This 468-nucleotide ribosomal RNA is filed under the name uncultured bacterium. RNAcentral describes it as "partial 16S ribosomal RNA". It matches the Rfam family "Bacterial small subunit ribosomal RNA", at positions 28 to 507 of the family's 1533-position model. The record is from RNAcentral.
GACGAACGCUGGCGGCGUGCUUAACACAUGCAAGUCGAACGGAAAGGCCCUGCUUUUGUGGGGUGCUCGAGUGGCGAACGGGUGAGUAACACGUGAGUAACCUGCCCUUGACUUUGGGAUAACUUCAGGAAACUGGGGCUAAUACCGGAUAGGAGCUCCUGCUGCAUGGUGGGGGUUGGAAAGUUUCGGCGGUUGGGGAUGGACUCGCGGCUUAUCAGCUUGUUGGUGGGGUAGUGGCUUACCAAGGCUUUGACGGGUAGCCGGCCUGAGAGGGUGACCGGCCACAUUGGGACCGAGAUACGGCCCAGACUCCUACGGGAGGCAGCAGUGGGGAAUAUUGCACAAUGGGCGGAAGCCUGAUGCAGCAACGCCGCGUGCGAGAUGACGGCCUUCGGGUUGUAAACCGCUUUCGCCUGUGACGAAGCGUGAGUGACGGUAAUGGGUAAAGAAGCACCGGCUAACUACGUG